UAGGUAAUUGGCCAGCGCCGCGGUAAUACGUAUGGAGCAAGCGUUAUCCGGAUUUACUGGGUGUAAAGGGAGUGUAGGUGGCCAGGCAAGUCAGAAGUGAAAGCCCGGGGCUCAACCCCGGGACUGCUUUUGAAACUGCAGGGCUAGAGUGCAGGAGGGGCAAGUGGAAUUCCUAGUGUAGCGGUGAAAUGCGUAGAUAUUAGGAGGAACACCAGUGGCGAAGGCGGCUUGCUGGACUGUAACUGACACUGAGGCUCGAAAGCGUGGGGAGCAAACAGG
Molecule: ribosomal RNA, 279 nt
Filed under: [Lactobacillus] rogosae
Lineage: Bacteria; Bacillati; Bacillota; Clostridia; Lachnospirales; Lachnospiraceae
Description: Lactobacillus rogosae partial 16S ribosomal RNA
Rfam family: Bacterial small subunit ribosomal RNA
Source: RNAcentral